Molecule: ribosomal RNA, 253 nt
Filed under: uncultured bacterium
Lineage: Bacteria
Description: partial 16S ribosomal RNA
Rfam family: Bacterial small subunit ribosomal RNA
Source: RNAcentral
UACGUAGGGGGCUAGCGUUGUUCGGAAUUACUGGGCGUAAAGGGCUCGUAGGCGGCCGACUCAGUCGGACGUGAAAUCCCUCGGCUUAACCGGGGAACUGCGUCCGAUACUAGCCGGCUUGAGUGUGGGAGAGGGAUGCGGAAUUCCAGGUGUAGCGGUGAAAUGCGUAGAUAUCUGGAGGAACACCGGUGGCGAAGGCGGCAUCCUGGACCACGACUGACGCUGAGGAGCGAAAGCCAGGGGAGCAAACGGG